RNAcentral lists this transfer RNA (88 nucleotides) under Portibacter lacus. RNAcentral's name for it is "tRNA-Ser". It matches the Rfam family "tRNA". Rfam says of the family: Transfer RNA (tRNA) molecules are approximately 80 nucleotides in length. Their secondary structure includes four short double-helical elements and three loops (D, anti-codon, and T loops). The record is from RNAcentral. Lineage: Bacteria; Pseudomonadati; Bacteroidota; Saprospiria; Saprospirales; Haliscomenobacteraceae.
GGUGAGGUGGGUGAGUGGCUGAAACCACCAGUUUGCUAAACUGACGUACUGGAGACGGUACCGGGGGUUCGAAUCCCCCUCUCACCGC